ACCAGGUAUUUGCUUCCUUUGAAGAAAAUAGGCCCGCCUGUCUAACAAGUCUGGUUCCUUCACGCUUUCUCCUGUGCCUACGUUCCUGUUUCUAAGCUGUGCCUCCUACAAGUGCCCACUUACAGAAUUCUUAUUCAGUUUAUCUUUCAAAGUCUCAGCUUGAGAAAAAAAAUAAAAAGAAAUAAAAUGGACACAAAUAUGACAGGAAGAAAUUAAUAUAGACAACCCAAAGCUACAUUUAAAAGACCAUAAAGAUUCUAUUAGAAAGUUCGUGGACCUCGACAUUUUCCCUAUAGUGUUUCUAAAAAUAGAACUAGUCUGUGAUCUAGCUAGUCAACUCAUGGGUAUACGUCAACUCAUGGGUAUACGUCAACUCAUGGGUAUACGCCCAAAGCACUCUGUUAACAUAGCACAGAGAUACUUGUAUAUCCAUAUUUAUUGUAAUGUUCACCAAAAAAGGAAAGAAAACAAAAAAAGAAAAAGGGAACAGCUUAGACAUUCAUUGAAAGAAAAGGAGAAUUUAUAUAUUUACAAAAAAUUCAGUAGCCUUUGUAUAAAUCUUCAUUCAAAGUAACUUCAUCACAUGUAUAUAGAAAUACUACUGAUUUUUGUGUUUGUUUUGCAUCCUAUUUAACAUUUUUUAACAUUGAAAUCACCAGUUACAUCCAUCUUCCUGAAAAUGUCUUUUUUUUUCUCUCAGUGGCUGAAUAAAGUUUCAUUAUGCUUAUGUUAAAUG
This 736-nucleotide long non-coding RNA is filed under the name Rattus norvegicus (Norway rat). RNAcentral's name for it is "long non-coding RNA NONRATT016489". Lineage: Eukaryota; Metazoa; Chordata; Mammalia; Rodentia; Muridae. The record is from RNAcentral.